AACCUCCGCAAUGUGAGAAAUCGCGACGGGGGGAUCCCAAGUGCCAUUCUUAACGGGAUGGCUUUUCAUUAGUGUAAAGAGCUUUUGGAAUAAGGGCUGGGCAAGACCGGUGCCAGCCGCCGCGGUAACACCGGCAGCUCUAGUGGUAGCAGUUUUUAUUGGGCCUAAAGCGUCCGUAGCCGGUUUAAUAAGUCUCUGGUGAAAUCCUGUAGCUUAACUGUGGGAAUUGCUGGAGAUACUAUUAGACUUGAGACCGGGAGAGGUUAGAGGUACUCCCAGGGUAGAGGUGAAAUUCUGUAAUCCUGGGAGGACCGCCUGUUGCGAAGGCGUCUAACUGGAACGGUUCUGACGGUGAGGGACGAAAGUUAGGGGCGCGAACCGGGAUUAGAUACCCGGGUAGUCCUAACCGUAAACGAUGCGGACUUGGUGUUGGGGUGGCUUUGAGCUGCUCCAGUGCCGAAGGGAAGCUGUUAAGUCCGCCGCCUGGGAAGUACGGUCGCAAGACUGAAACUUAAAGGAAUU
This 522-nucleotide ribosomal RNA is filed under the name uncultured bacterium. RNAcentral's name for it is "bacterial SSU rRNA". It matches the Rfam family "Archaeal small subunit ribosomal RNA", at positions 345 to 866 of the family's 1478-position model. The record is from RNAcentral.